UACGUAGGGAGCAAGCGUUGUCCGGAAUCAUUGGGCGUAAAGCGCGCGUAGGUGGCCCCAUAAGUCCGCUGUGAAAGUCAAAGGCUCAACCUUUGAAAGCCGGUGGAUACUGUGGGACUAGAGUACGGAAGAGGCGAGUGGAAUUCCUGGUGUAGCGGUGGAAUGCGCAGAUAUCAGGAGGAACACCAAUAGCGAAGGCAGCUCGCUGGGACGUGACUGACGCUGAGACGCGAAAGCGUGGGGAGCAAACAGG
Molecule: ribosomal RNA, 253 nt
Filed under: uncultured bacterium
Lineage: Bacteria
Description: partial 16S ribosomal RNA
Rfam family: Bacterial small subunit ribosomal RNA
Source: RNAcentral